UUUUACAUUCAUGCAAGCCUGAGUGCACCUGGUCUCAUCUGAUUUCAGAAGCUAAGCAUGAUCGAGCUUGACUAGUAUUUAAAAA
Molecule: ribosomal RNA, 85 nt
Filed under: Neolamprologus brichardi
Lineage: Eukaryota; Metazoa; Chordata; Actinopteri; Cichliformes; Cichlidae
Source: RNAcentral